RNAcentral lists this ribosomal RNA (468 nucleotides) under uncultured bacterium. Its description in RNAcentral is "partial 16S ribosomal RNA". It matches the Rfam family "Bacterial small subunit ribosomal RNA", at positions 28 to 507 of the family's 1533-position model. The record is from RNAcentral.
GACGAACGCUGGCGGCGUGCUUAACACAUGCAAGUCGAACGGAAAGGCCCUGCUUUUGUGGGGUGCUCGAGUGGCGAACGGGUGAGUAACACGUGAGUAACCUGCCCUUGACUUUGGGAUAACUUCAGGAAACUGGGGCUAAUACCGGAUAGGAGCUCCUGCUGCAUGGUGGGGGUUGGAAAGUUUCGGCGGUUGGGGAUGGACUCGCGGCUUAUCAGCUUGUUGGUGGGGUAGUGGCUUACCAAGGCUUUGACGGGUAGCCGGCCUGGGAGGGUGACCGGCCACAUUGGGACUGGGAUGCGGCCCAGACUCCUACGGGAGGCAGCGGUGGGGAAUGUUGCACAAUGGGCGGAAGCCUGAUGCAGCAACGCCGCGUGCGGGAUGACGGCCUUCGGGUUGUAAUCCGCUUCCGCCUGUGACGAAGCGUGAGUGACAGUAAUGGGUAAAGAAGCACCGGCUAACUACGUG